UGCACAGAGACUGGAAGUAGCC
This 22-nucleotide unclassified non-coding RNA is filed under the name Mus musculus (house mouse). RNAcentral's name for it is "oocyte_clustered_small_RNA10927". Lineage: Eukaryota; Metazoa; Chordata; Mammalia; Rodentia; Muridae. The record is from RNAcentral.